AGAGUUUGAUCUGGCUCAGGAUGAACGCUGGCGGCGUGCCUAACACAUGCAAGUCGAACGAUGAAACCGCCCUCGGGCGGACAUGAAGUGGCGAACGGGUGAGUAACACGUGACCAACCUGCCCCUUGCUCCGGGACAACCUUGGGAAACCGAGGCUAAUACCGGAUACUCCUCGCCCCCCUCCUGGGGGGCCCGGGAAAGCCCAGACGGCAAGGGAUGGGGUCGCGGCCCAUUAGGUAGUAGGCGGGGUAACGGCCCACCUAGCCCGCGAUGGGUAGCCGGGUUGAGAGACCGACCGGCCACAUUGGGACUGAGAUACGGCCCAGACUCCUACGGGAGGCAGCAGUGGGGAAUUUUGCGCAAUGGGGGAAACCCUGACGCAGCAACGCCGCGUGCGGGACGACGGCCUUCGGGUUGUAAACCGCUUUCAGCAGGGAAGAAAUUCGACGGUACCUGCAGAAGAAGCUCCGGCUAACUACGUGCCAGCAGCCGCGGU
RNAcentral lists this ribosomal RNA (496 nucleotides) under Eggerthella sp. CJ88. RNAcentral's name for it is "bacterial SSU rRNA". It matches the Rfam family "Bacterial small subunit ribosomal RNA", at positions 8 to 521 of the family's 1533-position model. Lineage: Bacteria; Bacillati; Actinomycetota; Coriobacteriia; Eggerthellales; Eggerthellaceae. The record is from RNAcentral.